Cervus elaphus (red deer) is the source of this 223-nucleotide long non-coding RNA. RefSeq lists it as uncharacterized. The record is from RefSeq and is a predicted model, not a curated record. Lineage: Eukaryota; Metazoa; Chordata; Mammalia; Artiodactyla; Cervidae. The transcript has 2 exons.
CCUCCUGCCUUCAAUCUUUCCCAGCAUCAGGGUCUUUUCCAAGGAGUCAGUUCUUCGCAUCAGCAGGGAGAGAAUUGGGCCCUUUGCUUGCAGCACAAGAAGAGUGCAUACAGAUCUGCUGGCCAUGGGGACUGUCAUCAGUGAAACUGAUCGUGCUCUUUCUCUUCACUGGUAAAGAGUAAAGCAUUGUUCACACAUUGUCCAUGUGAAUUGUGUCUUCUUG